RNAcentral lists this transfer RNA (72 nucleotides) under Candidatus Chisholmbacteria bacterium RIFCSPHIGHO2_01_FULL_48_12. RNAcentral describes it as "tRNA-Val". It matches the Rfam family "tRNA". From Rfam's summary of the family: Transfer RNA (tRNA) molecules are approximately 80 nucleotides in length. Their secondary structure includes four short double-helical elements and three loops (D, anti-codon, and T loops). Further hydrogen bonds mediate the characteristic L-shaped molecular structure. tRNAs have two regions of fundamental functional importance: the anti-codon, which is responsible for specific mRNA codon recognition, and the 3' end, to which the tRNAs corresponding amino acid is attached (by aminoacyl-tRNA synthetases). tRNAs cope with the degeneracy of the genetic code in two manners: having more than one tRNA (with a specific anti-codon) for a particular amino acid; and 'wobble' base-pairing, i.e. permitting non-standard base-pairing at the 3rd anti-codon position. Lineage: Bacteria; Candidatus Chisholmiibacteriota. The record is from RNAcentral.
GGACACAUAGCUCAGCGGUAGAGCGCUUCGUUCACAUCGAAGAGGUCUCUGGUUCGAGCCCAGAUGUGUCCA